GACGAACGCUGGCGGCGUGCUUAACACAUGCAAGUCGAACGGAAAGGCCCUGCUUUUGUUGGGUGCUCGAGUGGCGAACGGGUGAGUGACACGUGAGUAUCCUGCCCUUGCCUUUGGGGUAAAUUCUGGAAACUGGGGCUAAUACCGGAUAUGAUCUUCUGCUGCAUGGUGGGGGUUGGAAAGUUUCGGCGUUUGGGGAUGGAUUGGCUGCUUAUCAGCUUGUUGGUGGGGUAGUGGCUUACCAAGGCUUCGACGGGUAGCCGGCCUGAGAGGGGGAGCGGGGUCAUUAGUCCUGGGCUACGGCCCAGACUGCAACGUGCGGCAGCAGUGGGUAAUAUUACGCAAUGGGCGGAAGCCUGAUGCAACGACGCUGCGUGCGGGAUUACGGCCUUCGGGUUGUGAACCGCUUUCGCCGGUGCCGAAGCGUGAGUGACGGUAAUGGGUAAAGAAGCCCCGGCUAACUACGUG
This 468-nucleotide ribosomal RNA is filed under the name uncultured bacterium. RNAcentral's name for it is "partial 16S ribosomal RNA". It matches the Rfam family "Bacterial small subunit ribosomal RNA", at positions 28 to 507 of the family's 1533-position model. The record is from RNAcentral.